This 500-nucleotide ribosomal RNA is filed under the name uncultured bacterium. Its description in RNAcentral is "partial 16S ribosomal RNA". It matches the Rfam family "Bacterial small subunit ribosomal RNA", at positions 30 to 523 of the family's 1533-position model. The record is from RNAcentral.
AUUGAACGCUGGCGGCAGGCCUAACACAUGCAAGUCGAGCGGAUGACGGGAGCUUGCUCCUUGAUUCAGCGGCGGACGGGUGAGUAAUGCCUAGGAAUCUGCCUGGUAGUGGGAGAUAACGUUUCGAAAGGAACGCUAAUACCGCAUACGUCCUACGGGAGAAAGCAGGGGACCUUCGGGCCUUGCGCUAUCAGAUGAGCCUAGGUCGGAUUAGCUAGUUGGUGGGGUAAUGGCUCACCAAGGCGACGAUCCGUAACUGGUCUGAGAGGAUGAUCAGUCACACUGGAACUGAGACACGGUCCAGACUCCUACGGGAGGCAGCAGUGGGGAAUAUUGGACAAUGGGCGAAAGCCUGAUCCAGCCAUGCCGCGUGUGUGAAGAAGGUCUUCGGAUUGUAAAGCACUUUAAGUUGGGAGGAAGGGCAGUAAGUUAAUACCUUGCUGUUUUGACGUUACCGACAGAAUAAGCACCGGCUAACUCUGUGCCAGCAGCCGCAGUAA